CUUGGUCAUUUAGAGGAAGUAAAAGUCGUAACAAGGUUUCCGUAGGUGAACCUGCGGAAGGAUCAUUAGAGUAAGAAGUGUGAGUGUAGGCUUUGGUCGGAGGGAACCGGAAGCCAUAGGUUUCGCUGCUCAGUCGCGAUGAAGACAGGAUUUUUGUGCCGAUGCCGGCCGGACGUGAAACGGAAUAUCCUCUCUCACGAGACCUGCCUGUUAACUGCUAAGGCCCGCUGCGACAGACGGGACUGAAACUCCCCGAGUCGAGAAACAGCGUUGGAGCAUCGCAACCAAGAGCCUCUAAUCCUGACGUGGUAUCGGUGACCGGAAGACGGAGAACACUCCCGCCCACUGGGCGUCUCUUUGUGAACAAACCUUUCAAACUAUUUUCAGUUAUUAUUGCACCGUCUGAGCAGAGAAAGCAAAUCUUAUAAAACUUUCAACAACGGAUCUCUUGGUUCUCGCAUCGAUGAAGAACGCAGCGAAACGCGAUAGGUAAUGUGAAUUGCAGAAUUUAGUGAAUCAUCGAAUCUUUGAACGCACAUUGCGCUCCUUGGUAUUCCGAGGAGCAUAUCUGUUCGAGCGUCAUAUCUCUCUCAAGUCCACCGCUUUGCCGCGGGAGACUUGGUGCUGAGCUCGGAGAGCUGAGAAGCCUCCGGCUCCAAUUUCGCACGCUUGCGGUCCCCGUUGAACCUCAGACAUGAUAAACUUGACUGUUUGGUGCGUUCACGACGGCGGAUUCGCCACCGAAACCCCUCAAAAGUUUGACCUCGGAUCAGAUAAGGAUACCCGCUGAACUUAAGCAUAUCAAUAAGCGGAGGA
This 816-nucleotide ribosomal RNA is filed under the name uncultured Ascomycota. Its description in RNAcentral is "eukaryotic LSU rRNA". The stretch from base 429 to 582 matches the Rfam family "5.8S ribosomal RNA". The record is from RNAcentral. Lineage: Eukaryota; Fungi; Ascomycota.